AGAGUUUGAUCCUGGCUCAGAUUGAACGCUAGCGGGAUGCCUUACACAUGCAAGUCGAACGGCAGCACGGACUUCGGUCUGGUGGCGAGUGGCGAACGGGUGAGUAAUGUAUCGGAACGUGCCCAGUAGCGGGGGAUAACUACGCGAAAGCGUAGCUAAUACCGCAUACGCCCUACGGGGGAAAGCAGGGGAUCGCAAGACCUUGCACUAUUGGAGCGGCCGAUAUCGGAUUAGCUAGUUGGUGGGGUAACGGCUCACCAAGGCGACGAUCCGUAGCUGGUUUGAGAGGACGACCAGCCACACUGGGACUGAGACACGGCCCAGACUCCUACGGGAGGCAGCAGUGGGGAAUUUUGGACAAUGGGGGAAACCCUGAUCCAGCCAUCCCGCGUGUGCGGUGAAGGCCUUCGGGUUGUAAAGCACUUUUGGCAGGAAAGAAACGUCAUGGGUUAAUACCCCGUGAAACUGACGGUACCUGCAGAAUAAGCACCGGCUAACUACGUGCCAGCAGCCGCGGUAAUACGUAGGGUGCAAGCGUUAAUCGGAAUUACUGGGCGUAAAGCGUGCGCAGGCGG
RNAcentral lists this ribosomal RNA (575 nucleotides) under uncultured bacterium. RNAcentral's name for it is "bacterial SSU rRNA". It matches the Rfam family "Bacterial small subunit ribosomal RNA", at positions 8 to 578 of the family's 1533-position model. The record is from RNAcentral.